GCAUCCCGGAAGCUCUGAGCCGAGUCCUGUCCCGUCCGUGUCCCCUCCGCCCACUUUCUCCUCCUGUCCAGCAGGCAGUGGGUGUGCGCGGGGGUGCUCCACACUUCUUGUGCCCUUUGGUCUCCAAGCCCCACUGGUCCACAGGCCGGGUGUCCAAGCAUCCCCACGUGAGUGUUCCGACUCCAUGGCCCCCGAUCUCCACACGUGGACCUGCCAGGAGGUGUCCAGCCCCGAGGUUUUUGCUUUGUUUAGACUCACCUCUUCACUACAGCUCAUCUUCCGAGAACAGCACCUGUCUUCUCUGCUCCCCACCUUCUGAUGCUCUCACUUGGUACUUCUCAUCUUUCGCAUACUGCACUCUCCCCGUUCUAUCUCCGGACCACCCUCCCCAUGACUUCUGACAGACUCCUGCAUCUAUGGAGUGAGGAGCAUCUCCACGUGGGCGUGGGCAAAGGAAGCCUGGGAGGAGCU
Budorcas taxicolor (takin) is the source of this 471-nucleotide long non-coding RNA. RefSeq lists it as uncharacterized. The transcript is spliced from 3 exons. NCBI's taxonomy places the organism in Eukaryota, Metazoa, Chordata, Mammalia, Artiodactyla, Bovidae. The record is from RefSeq and is a predicted model, not a curated record.